Molecule: ribosomal RNA, 397 nt
Filed under: uncultured bacterium
Lineage: Bacteria
Description: partial 16S ribosomal RNA
Rfam family: Bacterial small subunit ribosomal RNA
Source: RNAcentral
AUACGUAGGGGGCGAGCGUUGUCCGGAAUGAUUGGGCGUAAAGGGCGCGUAGGCGGCCUGUUAAGUCUGGAGUGAAAGUCCUGUUUUCAAGAUGGGAAUUGCUUUGGAUACUGAUGGGCUUGAGUGCAGGAGAGGUUAUCGGAAUUCCCGGUGUAGCGGUGAAAUGCGUAGAGAUCGGGAGGAACACCAGUGGCGAAGGCGGGUAACUGGACUGCAACUGACGCUGAGGCGCGAAAGUGUGGGGAGCAAACAGGAUUAGAUACCCUGGUAGUCCACACCGUAACCGAUGAAUGCUAGGUGUAAGAGGUAUCGACCCCUUUUGUGCCGGAGUCAACACAAUAAGCAUUCCGCCUGGGGAGUACGGCCGCAAGGUUGAAACUCAAAGGAAUUGACGGGG